This 73-nucleotide small RNA is filed under the name Vibrio spartinae. Its description in RNAcentral is "isrK". It matches the Rfam family "isrK Hfq binding RNA". The record is from RNAcentral. Lineage: Bacteria; Pseudomonadati; Pseudomonadota; Gammaproteobacteria; Vibrionales; Vibrionaceae.
GCACUGGCAAAAUCCAGUGCCGGGAUUGGAACCCCGUUUGAUAUAGGCAUAAAAACAUCCUCUCAUUGUUUUU